Lolium perenne is the source of this 1452-nucleotide non-coding RNA. The record is from RefSeq and is a predicted model, not a curated record. NCBI's taxonomy places the organism in Eukaryota, Viridiplantae, Streptophyta, Magnoliopsida, Poales, Poaceae.
GGCCCGCUUCGGAGACGCCGCUUCGACGGUCGGUUUCCACGGAGGUAGAAGAGACCGCCUGCUGUAGGCUUCGUCUAGAGGAGCUGCAGCCGCCCGAGAAUCUAUGGAGCCGGCCGCCGGCCGCCGGGGUCAGAGGUAGGCGGCGGCAGGUCGGGAUGUGGGAGAGGGGCAUAGCCUAGAAGCCGCCCCGCCGCCAACCAGAUGGACGAGCAGCAAACGGCGGCGAGGGACUGCACGCCGGCGAGCAGCAGAAGGCUAGCUUGCGAUGUGGUUAGCUUUGAUCCCACGAUUUGCAAACACUCGAAAGAGAGAUCUGGAUAUAGCAUGUGAGAUUCUGAUGCAAUAUGUAUCCAAUAUUUGUUGUUGGAUCUAGAUGCGUGUAUCUUCCUUGAUACUUCUCCUAUGAAUUGCAGAUUCGUUUUUCUUCAAUUUACCUUUUAUCCCGUGUCGCCUCCUGCCUCCUACCAACAACUAGAGACGUCCACGCUAUAAAGAAUUGGACCAUAUAGAGCUAUCACGAAAAUUGGACUCAGAUGCUCAUGUAGUGUGGGGAAUAAAUGUUCUUGGAGGGAUGCUUGCAGAAUGAAAGGACAGGAAUGGGGUCAUGAUGAACAUCAAGGAGAAGAUAUGAAGGAUUCGAGGUGGGACUAGAGCCAAGAGAUUCUUUCACAACUUGCAGAAGCAAGCCGGAGCAUGUCCAUUAUUCCAGUAUGGCUAAAGGCAGCCCAUCUCACUCAAGACACCCCUUCAUUGCCAAGAAACAAAGGGGGUCUCAAUAGGUGUGAAACUCUUAGCAUGUAAUUCAGUUUUGUGUGUGCUUCUUAGCCUUACUGUGCAAUUUAAUCUGCUCUGCUUUCAACCGACCGCAUCUGAGAUAUGGAUCAUGUAUGAGUGCCUAUGCUAUGCAUCUACUUUUUAGAUUAUAUACAAUUUGGUCAUGAAUAGCUUCCCUUUUGGGGUUUUGGAAUAGUUUUUAAGACAAGGAUGCUUUUGCGCAUCUUUGUUAAGAAAAAAAAGAUUAAUAUGGAUUUAGAUUUCCACAAUCGUUAGGUGCAGGUUCAACAAUUGCAGCAUGAAAUGCCGAGGUACAGAAGAAGAUGCUUUUAGUAUGAUAGUUCCCCCAUGUUUCUAUACCAAUAUCUUCCAAAUGCUCCGAUCAUGUUCCUUUUAGCGUUCAUGUCACUUGCUUUUUUUAGACAUAUUUAUUGGCGAUCUGCAUUGUCAUGUAGUAAACUGAUGGUGAAUACUGCGUGUUCAUUUUAAGCUUGGAGCCAACAUUUAAGAUAAAUUUGCUUAGUAUGAUCAGAGUAUUCGCUUUGGAUUGACCUAACUUAAUUGAUUGUAUGGUGUGACAUUAGCUAUUCGCAUCACAGUUUGAUAGUUUCUAAUCACUAUUUCAUAUGCAGUGUAUGUUUUUAGAUUUGGGUCCAGUUGAAAACGUUAUCAGUGUUG